UGCCACCAGAACACCUAAUAGACUGUCAGUUUGAAUGUUUAAAUGAGACACAGCAAGGGAGGGGAAAAUGCUUUUAACAAAAGAAUGGUAGACUAGGAAAAAAAAAAACCCAGCUUCACUGACAAGGUAACUGGAGAUGUAGCACUUGCAAUAGAAGGGAGGUGUUGAUGAAUGCAUUACUAACAGGUGAAAAAUGGUGCUUGGAUUAGGGCUACUAACAGGAAAUACAGAAAGCAUUUAUGGGUAUAAAAUGUAGUUGGUAAGGUAUCAGGUUGUGAUUAGAAUUACAUUAAGCAGAUUGUCUCCUCUGUAGGAUUCAGUGUUGUCUUGUCUACCCUUGUGAUGACUUGUUUGAGCAAUAUUUUAAAGCUACAUCUGUGUGUGUAGUACAGAUUUGUGCAUAACUGACUCCUCCAAAUUAGUGUUUGUGCAUCUUGCAGAUGCUUUAUGCCAGUACAGGUAGGUACAUCUUCAAAACUAUACAUGGCAUUAUUUGGUUAGAGAUUCAGAACCUAAUUCCUAUAUGUCAACAGCAUCUCAAAUUGCUUUGCUCAAGAAUGAAAUGGGGAAAGGUUAGAAAUUGCAGGAAAAGUUUUGUUCUAUUUUGUGCAAGUGAUAUAGCUGAGCAUUGCCACUAUGAAAGCACAUUUGCUUUGGUACAUGUUUCUUUUUCAGUAAAGCCUAUUUCUUGAAAGCUGUGAAUUAUAUUUGAUCCUCAUUUUUUGUUUGCCACAUAUGCCAUUUCUUCCUGCCUAGAAAUUAUAAGCAAAUACUAUUUUAUUUUAUUUUAUUUUAUUUUAUUUUAUUUUAUUUUAUUUUUUAUUUUUUUUAAUAACUAAUUAUAAAUAAUGAGCUCAUACUCUGUUCAAACAGUUUCACAAAGUGGUGGGUUUCUCUUGGACUGUAUGUUUGACUGUUGUUCACUGAUGCUCAGAGAUUGGUUACAUAAAUUGCGUGUUAUUGUUUCAGUUCUAGUGGCUGACAGCAAUCAACGGUAGCCUGACAGCAGUCAGUGGUUACAAGCAGUGGGAAGGCAUUUUUGGCAUGGGUAGGAAAGCACUGCGUAAUCAGAAAUGAGAAGUCUGCUGGAGGAAAAGUUAUCCUCCAAGAUGUAUGGGUAUGAACUUUUGUUCCUAUGUGUACAGAAAUGUGUGUGAAAAGGAACAUACACGGAAUACAUCAUGCAUUGGGAAUUAUGAGAAAAGUAUAUGGGAUCUAAACCGGAUAGAGGAAACUUGGACACAAGUCUAACCAAGAAGCAAAGUUGUUAAAACAUAAAGCUUCUAGGCUGUUUCUGUUCCAAAGAAAAAUGUUUUAUCUUCAUUUCCAGAAUAAUAUGCUCUUCUAGUGUGUGCUUCAGACUGAGUAAUGGAUGUGAGUAGAAUAGUAUCAGAGAAGAUGGAGAAGCAUCCCUUUGUCUUGCAGCUGGAACUGCGGCAUUUCAUUGCCUUGGAAGUCUCCUUGUGGUAGGGAAAAAUGGUAUACUGAUGAACUGGUAAUGCCUUUGCCUCCAUGGAUGUGGGCAACACACAGAAACAUAAACAUUUUCUUAUCAACAUGAUCAUAACUUUGAAGAAUGAUCUUUGCUGUUAAGGCAGACAAACCAAAUGUUUCCCUAUAAAUAAGUGAAGAUACCAUUUUUUUUAAUGUGUAAUGGUUUUGGGGAAUAUUUGCAUAUAGACAAUGUUUUAUGAUUUACAUGUAGUUAGGAGAUGUGGUAUCUGCAUAAAAUCUAUAUUUACAAUGAAUUGAAGAUGUGCAUCUCCAUUUCUUUCUGUGCAUCGGUUGGUAUAUUUUCUUCAUUCAUAUUAGGGAGUUGUGUGAUCAAAAUUUGCUGAACUGUGGUUUAUAGCAGACAAUUAACAGCUGUUAAAUAGGAUUAUUGCAGGCUGUUAUCUUCACAUAGCAUUGAUUCAAAUGCUAAUUUCACUCAAUUUACUGCUCAUAAGGCUACCCUACUGCCAGGUACACUGCACUCAUGAUGAAUGACAAAAUUUAUCUGAAAAGAAUGUAACCUAUUUAAAAUAUGUAUCAGUAGAUUUUUUUGGCCCGGUUUGCAACUCCUUGACACAGGUGAGAAUGCUGUGCAUAGCAGGAAGAUGUAGAGUCAGGCUUAGCCCAACAGAACUGCGAGAAAAUGACAUUACCUUGUACUUCUUUGGCUGUGAUUAUAAACGCUAUUUUGGUAAUGAAAACAAAUCAUGCUUUUUACCCUUUGAUUGGUUCACCUCUUAAAGAAUGCCACUCAUGCUGGGAGAUACAGUAGAGUAAGAGUAAUCUUUGACUGGUGUGCUGUGUCUUAAUGCUGCACACCCUAAGAACCGUAGUUUAAAAUUCAAAGUACACCUUUUUCAUGUGAAGUUAACUAUAAUUUCCUUCUUCCUAUCAACCUUUUCUUCUUCACAUAGUGCAGAAAUAGCCAACAGCAGAUGCUUCACUCUUUCCAGGUUAACUUCAGGAUUCAGCAAUAAUUUUCUAAGCUUUGCUGUUGGGAUGAUGUUGUUAUGGGAAGAAAAUAUUCCCCUUCCUCCCCUUUACUGUAUAUUUCUGCUGUCAGCCUUCAGCUGACAGUAGCAGUUGUACAUAUUGAUCCAAUCUGACAGGAAAAUAAUGCCUCAGAAAGACAUUUCUGGCGAAAUAGGUUCCCUGCCUUAGGUCUCUAUGCAGCCACAAGGCAGUCAGUAAGAAAGUACAGGGGUUGGGCAUUGGGAUUGUUGGUUUGGAGCUGUACAGGUUUAGACUGGCCCCUCAGAACCAGCUGGAAAGUUAUAACCUUAAGCUGUGAUUUCUCAUUAAAUUUUGUUUCAUCUUUACAGAUGGUAUAUGUGGUCCCUUGGUACCCACUCUAAGAUCUUGGCAAUUUUUCUUUGACUGCUCCUACACAAAGGAAUACUGGGUAUUUUAAAGGAGAGCUUGCAAAGUUUAUGCAGAAAAAUUAUAUAUUAAAUGUUAUUCUUCUUGCCUUUAAUGCUUAUGAAGGCAGCAAGAUACUGUUAAGAGGUAUUUCUCUUAGGUUCAACUUCUUUGCUGUUGUGCCUGUUGUUUGGUAAAUCCCUACAUAUACUGGUCAGUCAAUACUGUCAAAUGUUGCAUAAGAAGAAUAUGAACUACUGUCUGAUUAGGAGUGAAAUGAAGAAAGAAAAAAGACUGCCUUGCACUUUCAGAUUUGUUGUCUUACAGUGUCUAUGGGGAAAAUUAUCUUUCAUAUUUAAACAUACAAAAAAGUAUGUAUAAAGCAAUGAGCUUCCUGCUACUGCAGUGAAAGGCCAUGUAAUAAAAUGGGAUAUAUUAUGAAUUC
Long non-coding RNA from Pezoporus occidentalis (night parrot), 3298 nucleotides. RefSeq lists it as uncharacterized. Lineage: Eukaryota; Metazoa; Chordata; Aves; Psittaciformes; Psittacidae. The record is from RefSeq and is a predicted model, not a curated record. The transcript has 3 exons.